AUGAAAAACGUUUUCGCGAAAGAUAUCAUGCUUGGUUGCAGUAUUAAAGCAUUCCUAGUAAAGAGUGGUAAGACAAAAUGUCAUCAUCAUAUCUAAAAACGAUAAGUGAUGAUUUUUCUGGAGAGAUACAUUUAAGUCCAUCCUGUGGGGCAUCGACGAAAACAAUAUUAAUGGGUACACAAUAUGUUACUGUCCUGGUUAGAAAGUGCGUCUGCGGAAGAUAUACCGAUAUGACUCAUUUUGACGUGGCAACAAAAUCAUCAUACAGUUUUCCAAUACCUGGGGUUAUUUUUACCAUCAAUGGUUACAUGGAAUCGAUAAAACAAAGGAUCGGUCAGCAAUGGGUAUAUGAGCUAAACUUUAAAAAUUACGCUCCACGAAGAUCAACACAAGCCCGUUAGUAUAAGAAGAUUCCAACAGCGUUUGAUCGAAGCAUUGUAAGGUUUGCAAAAACAAUAUAAUAACUUGAUGAUACCUUCUGGCGCUGCACGAUGGAAGAAGAAGAAACUUACAAAUGUACAAACGUGAUCUCGAGACUGUUUUACACCAACUAAAGAAUAACAUUAAAACUUAUUUUUGUGCCAUACCUACUGAAUGAAAUAAACUUUCUUGAUAAAAAACUGUUUAAUAUAGCAGGAGUUGGAAAUAGGCUCAUAUGAAUAACACCAAUACAAUAUAAUAUGACUGUAUAUUGUGACUAUAAGAAAAUAAAUACUCAGAGCACUAAUUAGUAGACGAAUUUUACUUCAUCUUUUUAAUGAUUUCUUGAGACUUACUUCAAUAAACCAAUUAUGAACAUA
This is a long non-coding RNA of Pecten maximus, 800 nucleotides long. RefSeq lists it as uncharacterized. The record is from RefSeq and is a predicted model, not a curated record. The transcript is spliced from 2 exons. Lineage: Eukaryota; Metazoa; Mollusca; Bivalvia; Pectinida; Pectinidae.